This 253-nucleotide ribosomal RNA is filed under the name uncultured bacterium. Its description in RNAcentral is "partial 16S ribosomal RNA". It matches the Rfam family "Bacterial small subunit ribosomal RNA", at positions 524 to 776 of the family's 1533-position model. The record is from RNAcentral.
UACGGAGGGUGCAAGCGUUGCUCGGAAUUAUUGGGCGUAAAGGGUAGGUAGGUGGUCUCAUUUGUCUGGGGUGAAAUCCUUGGGCUUAACUCAAGAAGUGCCCCAGAAACGGUGAGACUAGAGUCCUGGAGAGGGUCGUGGAAUUCCCGGUGUAGCGGUGAAAUGCGUAGAGAUCGGGAGGAACACCAGAGGCGAAAGCGGCGACCUAGACAGGCACUGACACUCAACUACGAAAGCGUGGGGAGCAAACAGG